ACUUACAAGGGAAGAAUCAAUGAAGAGCUAUUGCUAUAUCACAAGAGUGACAUUAAAUUGAUGGCAUGAGGACGUACCUGUGACAGGAGCUGGCUUAAAUGAUGAAUUGUACAUAUUCAAGUUACUACAUUUUAGUAUUCAGACUACUAUCUGUAGGAAUGUGUUAAGAAAUACUACAAUAUUUUAACAGGACUGUAUUUUUCCCAGUGGUUGAGAACACCUGGGAUUGGAGUGGGGCCAACUCAGCUUCUAUACCCAUGGCCCUGGGCUGGCUGCUUGACUCUCAGACACAUCAGGUGCACUGCAGUGUCAUAUGAAUUGAUGUAUAUGGAGUGGUGUUUGUAUAGGACCCAAAACUAUGUCCUUCUGAAUAAAUAUUCUAGACGUGAUUUAAAGCCAUACUUGCUAAAAUGUGAAAACUUCACACAGAAGUUGUCAGUUCACAGGAUUAAUCUCCACCAGAAGGCAUUUUGUGAAGAAUGGGCUCUCAGAAAUACAAAAUACCACAGGAACUAUCUUUUAAAUCAGAUUUCUGGUGAAACAGUGCAGCCUGCCUGCCUCCUAAGUUGAAGUAGCUGGUGGAAAUAACCAGGUUGGGUAUCAGGUGUGCUACUAGCCCCAGCUUGACCCUGGACUGGCUGCUGAAGCUUCCACAAGCCGCUCAACAUCACCCGGCCUCAUUUAACACAUGAACAAAUGUGUCAUGAAUGGCAUGACUUCUAAGUCCUGUCCAGCCACAUCAACCUCUAAUUCCAUCGCUUUGCACAAACUCACAAGGUUUUUGACCACUUAUAAAUUCAAUUUUUUCCCCUGUGAUUGUGUGAAUAAGUAAAAAUUGAAGUAUACUUAUGGUUUUCCACAUACUCUAUUCAUUAUAGUGUACAUACAUAAAUCUAUUUUUAAAGAAUAAUAUUCACCUUUACCCCAACAAUAUCAAAAUAAGUUUGUGAUCUACACUUAUGUGAAUACAGAAGUUGUAUAUAUACAGGGUAUUACAUUAUUUGUCUUAAAAUUUAAAUUGUAUAAUUUUAAAAUAAUUUCCCAAUCCUACUGCAUAAAAAAAUCUCAACUUUACACUAAACAAUCAUAAUAUGUAAUUGAUGAUUUAUUAAUUUACUCUUCUGAGAUGAACAUAAUAUUUCAGGCACAUAAUAUGCACAAGACAUAUUCCACAAUGGCAAAACUUUGUUUAAAAUGGUAAGGUGUAUUUUAUUGCUUUUUAUUAAAUAUCUGAGGUAAAUACAUUUUAUAUAAAUUGUUCUAAUCAAUUUUUCUUAGAGAUAGUAUUUACAAUAAGUGAAAUAAACUGAACCAUGUAAAACUGUUAGUUUUUAAUUAAACAUAUACUAAACAUGUUAUAAAAGGAAAUUUAAAAUUAUAGUUGUAGUUAUUAAGCAAGUGCUAUAUUGCAAACAACAUGUGGGACUUCUUAUAAGAUUAUUAUAAUCUUCAGAAUAAGUAUAUUGUGUAAGCUUUCUCAUCUCCAAAUCCCAGAUGAAUGAAGUGGUCCAGCUGUUUGGCAGAAAGGUAAGUGAGUGGAAGGAGAAUAAGGCCAGUGGAACCCACUAAAAGGUACUCAAAUAGUUAACCAGAUAAAAUCAGAGAGCCAGAAAGGACUCAUGGAGUUAAUGAGUUAUUUAGUUGAACUUUCAAAGGCCAGGAGCAACUUGGAACGUCCAGAUAUUCCCAAGUAGAAAAGUAUCAGCAUAGCCCAUGUCUUCAGUUGUACCAAUGAAUUCAUGCCAUUGUAAAAUCUACUUAGCCUGCUGAAAAAGGCCAAGUUUAUCUUUUCCCUAAUCUAUAUACUCUUCUUCCUUUUCUUCCAGCUCCUCAAGCAAGUAACUUUGUAACCAGGGCAGAGGAUAUGCCUCUGAACUAUAAAUAAACCUAUGUGGAUAAAGAAUGCUGAGAUCGGGACCAACACAAUCACCUAAAUAAGCCUAUUCUUAAGACAAAACUUCAAAGAAACAAUGAAUCACAUGUAUACAUCAUACCUUAUGCUGACUCCUACCCAAAAAGUCCUAUAAAAACCCAAGUACUAAACCUUUUGGGGUGUCUCCUUUCUAAGGUUGCCCGCACUCCCCUUUCUUCGAGUGUGUACAUUUUUACCUUAAAUAAAGACCUGU
Manis javanica (Malayan pangolin) is the source of this 2126-nucleotide non-coding RNA. NCBI's taxonomy places the organism in Eukaryota, Metazoa, Chordata, Mammalia, Pholidota, Manidae. The record is from RefSeq and is a predicted model, not a curated record.